RNAcentral lists this ribosomal RNA (2923 nucleotides) under Klebsiella pneumoniae. Its description in RNAcentral is "23S ribosomal RNA". It matches the Rfam family "Bacterial large subunit ribosomal RNA". The record is from RNAcentral. Lineage: Bacteria; Pseudomonadati; Pseudomonadota; Gammaproteobacteria; Enterobacterales; Enterobacteriaceae.
GGGUUGUGAGGUUAAGCGACUAAGCGUACACGGUGGAUGCCCUGGCAGUCAGAGGCGAUGAAGGACGUGCUAAUCUGCGAAAAGCGUCGGUAAGGUGAUAUGAACCGUUAUAACCGGCGAUGUCCGAAUGGGGAAACCCAGUGCAAUUCGUUGCACUAUCGUUAACUGAAUACAUAGGUUAACGAGGCGAACCGGGGGAACUGAAACAUCUAAGUACCCCGAGGAAAAGAAAUCAACCGAGAUUCCCCCAGUAGCGGCGAGCGAACGGGGAGCAGCCCAGAGUCUGAAUCAGCUUGUGUGUUAGUGGAACGGUCUGGAAAGUCCGACGGUACAGGGUGAUAGUCCCGUACACCAAAAUGCACAGGCUGUGAACUCGAAGAGUAGGGCGGGACACGUGGUAUCCUGUCUGAAUAUGGGGGGACCAUCCUCCAAGGCUAAAUACUCCUGACUGACCGAUAGUGAACCAGUACCGUGAGGGAAAGGCGAAAAGAACCCCGGCGAGGGGAGUGAAAAAGAACCUGAAACCGUGUACGUACAAGCAGUGGGAGCACCUUCGGGUGUGACUGCGUACCUUUUGUAUAAUGGGUCAGCGACUUAUAUUCUGUAGCAAGGUUAACCGUAUAGGGGAGCCGCAGGGAAACCGAGUCUUAACUGGGCGUUAAGUUGCAGGGUAUAGACCCGAAACCCGGUGAUCUAGCCAUGGGCAGGUUGAAGGUUGGGUAACACUAACUGGAGGACCGAACCGACUAAUGUUGAAAAAUUAGCGGAUGACUUGUGGCUGGGGGUGAAAGGCCAAUCAAACCGGGAGAUAGCUGGUUCUCCCCGAAAGCUAUUUAGGUAGCGCCUCGUGAACUCAUCUUCGGGGGUAGAGCACUGUUUCGGCUAGGGGGUCAUCCCGACUUACCAACCCGAUGCAAACUACGAAUACCGAAGAAUGUUAUCACGGGAGACACACGGCGGGUGCUAACGUCCGUCGUGAAGAGGGAAACAACCCAGACCGCCAGCUAAGGUCCCAAAGUCAUGGUUAAGUGGGAAACGAUGUGGGAAGGCACAGACAGCCAGGAUGUUGGCUUAGAAGCAGCCAUCAUUUAAAGAAAGCGUAAUAGCUCACUGGUCGAGUCGGCCUGCGCGGAAGAUGUAACGGGGCUAAACCAUGCACCGAAGCUGCGGCAGCGACACUAUGUGUUGUUGGGUAGGGGAGCGUUCUGUAAGCCUGCGAAGGUGUGCUGUGAGGCAUGCUGGAGGUAUCAGAAGUGCGAAUGCUGACAUAAGUAACGAUAAAGCGGGUGAAAAGCCCGCUCGCCGGAAGACCAAGGGUUCCUGUCCAACGUUAAUCGGGGCAGGGUGAGUCGACCCCUAAGGCGAGGCCGAAAGGCGUAGUCGAUGGGAAACAGGUUAAUAUUCCUGUACUUGGUGUUACUGCGAAGGGGGGACGGAGAAGGCUAUGUUAGCCGGGCGACGGUUGUCCCGGUUUAAGCAUGUAGGCUGGUUGUCCAGGCAAAUCCGGAUAAUCAAGGCUGAGGUGUGAUGACGAGGCACUACGGUGCUGAAGUAACAAAUGCCCUGCUUCCAGGAAAAGCCUCUAAGCAUCAGGUAACAUUAAAUCGUACCCCAAACCGACACAGGUGGUCAGGUAGAGAAUACCAAGGCGCUUGAGAGAACUCGGGUGAAGGAACUAGGCAAAAUGGUGCCGUAACUUCGGGAGAAGGCACGCUGAUAUGUAGGUGAAGCCCCUGCGGGUGGAGCUGAAAUCAGUCGAAGAUACCAGCUGGCUGCAACUGUUUAUUAAAAACACAGCACUGUGCAAACACGAAAGUGGACGUAUACGGUGUGACGCCUGCCCGGUGCCGGAAGGUUAAUUGAUGGGGUUAUCCGUAAGGAGAAGCUCUUGAUCGAAGCCCCGGUAAACGGCGGCCGUAACUAUAACGGUCCUAAGGUAGCGAAAUUCCUUGUCGGGUAAGUUCCGACCUGCACGAAUGGCGUAAUGAUGGCCAGGCUGUCUCCACCCGAGACUCAGUGAAAUUGAACUCGCUGUGAAGAUGCAGUGUACCCGCGGCAAGACGGAAAGACCCCGUGAACCUUUACUAUAGCUUGACACUGAACAUUGAGCCUUGAUGUGUAGGAUAGGUGGGAGGCUUUGAAGCGUGGACGCCAGUCUGCGUGGAGCCAACCUUGAAAUACCACCCUUUAAUGUUUGAUGUUCUAACGUUGGCCCCUUACCGGGGUUGCGGACAGUGUCUGGUGGGUAGUUUGACUGGGGCGGUCUCCUCCCAAAGCGUAACGGAGGAGCACGAAGGUUAGCUAAUCCUGGUCGGACAUCAGGAGGUUAGUGCAAUGGCAUAAGCUAGCUUGACUGCGAGCGUGACGGCGCGAGCAGGUGCGAAAGCAGGUCAUAGUGAUCCGGUGGUUCUGAAUGGAAGGGCCAUCGCUCAACGGAUAAAAGGUACUCCGGGGAUAACAGGCUGAUACCGCCCAAGAGUUCAUAUCGACGGCGGUGUUUGGCACCUCGAUGUCGGCUCAUCACAUCCUGGGGCUGAAGUAGGUCCCAAGGGUAUGGCUGUUCGCCAUUUAAAGUGGUACGCGAGCUGGGUUUAGAACGUCGUGAGACAGUUCGGUCCCUAUCUGCCGUGGGCGCUGGAGAAUUGAGGGGGGCUGCUCCUAGUACGAGAGGACCGGAGUGGACGCAUCACUGGUGUUCGGGUUGUCAUGCCAAUGGCACUGCCCGGUAGCUAAAUGCGGAAGAGAUAAGUGCUGAAAGCAUCUAAGCACGAAACUUGCCCCGAGAUGAGUUCUCCCUGAGACUUUAAGUCUCCUGAAGGAACGUUGAAGACGACGACGUUGAUAGGCCGGGUGUGUAAGCGCAGCGAUGCGUUGAGCUAACCGGUACUAAUGAACCGUGAGGCUUAACCUUACAACGCCGAAG